UUAGAUUAGAUCGAUCCCGAUCGAAAUGAUUUGAUCCCAUCAUUGACAGCGCAGGCAAGCCGUCAGUGCGUGAUCGGUCGACGUGCCUCUGCUCUUCUCUGAUCAGAACAUUCCCUCUGCAAAACUCAAGCUGAGGAAUCCGUUUAGGGAUCAGUAAACAACUCCGGCCGCGAUUAAUUAACUCCCCGAUUAAGAUAUCCACAGUGCUCGAUCGUCAGUCAGAUCUGAGAGCAUCAAUCACGUGGCCAACGCAUCGAUCCAUGCAUCCAUCGCCAUAGCCACCGCCAAGUUAUUACCUGCUGGCUGCUACAGUGUCAGCACAGUACGUAGCACUUGCUAUGCUCUCGCUGCAUGCAUGUCUGCAGUAACAAAAUUACAAAGUGGAGUAACAGGUAGCAGCAGCAGCAGUAGCUAAGCUAGGUAAGCCGGGAUGGAAGCCAGGGCACGUUGAGGAUUUGGGCAGCGUUGCCUUUUCGGUUGGAUUAUGGAACAUGGAUCUGUUUUUUAGGGAGAAGCAUGUGAGUUUGGGGCUUUCGGGGUGAGUUGUCGCCUUCAUGGCCAUGGGUGCCGGCACGUGAGGCACCGGGAAUUGAAGGCCUGGCCGGCCCUAUCAUUCUACAUAGAUUUACACUUGGCCUCCCAUGGAUGCAUGGUAUGGUAGUAGUAUUAGCACAGAUAGACCCACGAGACAAUCGAUCAGGUCCUGGAUCAGUUAUUGUAUUAGGGUAAAAAGAUCCAAUAAACAAUUAGACUAGCAGAACUUUAUCUUGUGAGCACUGGAGAAGUGUUUGGCAGAAGCUGAAGCCAUCUGCUGGGGCGUCAGGCCAUCGUCGCCGCCACCAGCGGCCGAUCCGUCGUCGUCACCGUCGCCGCUGAAACCCGUGCAGAAACGCGCCAACAAGGACGCCAACGCCGCUGGCCAGAAGAUGUUGGGCGACCCGUGCUCCAUCGCCGCCUCCGAUUUUUAUCUGAACUAGCAGCUGAAUUUUAUCUGGCCAGCUGAUCGAUUCCGGAUUCUUGACUACACUCGCUAAUUACUGGGAGUAUUCCAGCUUGCUCCUUAUAUAGCUGCACAACGGAGAAGAUACAAUGUGUCAGAUUUCCGAUGGUCUAGCUUGGCUGCUUGGUGACUACUCUCUCUGGUCAAGGUAAAACAAGCAGAGAAGUAUAUGAGUGAACAAUUUGGCACCGCAAAGUUUGUAGUGCAAAGCGCAGUGCAGCUUCCGAUGUAACAUCUCUCUGAGUCAUCAAGGUAAGUCAUAGCAUUUGACGUCUGGAAUACUGGAUAGCGACCCGAUAGAUGUUUUGCUGAUACUUG
RNAcentral lists this long non-coding RNA (1318 nucleotides) under Oryza brachyantha (malo sina). Its description in RNAcentral is "long non-coding RNA (OBRA_LNC000613)". The record is from RNAcentral. Lineage: Eukaryota; Viridiplantae; Streptophyta; Magnoliopsida; Poales; Poaceae.